UAAGUUUCAACAACGGAUCUCUUGGCUCUCGCAUCGAUGAAGAACGCAGCGAAAUGCGAUAAGUAAUGUGAAUUGCAGAAUUCAGUGAAUCAUCGAAUCUUUGAACGCACCUUGCGCUCCUUGGUAUUCCUUGGAGCAUGCCUGUUUGAGUAUCAU
Molecule: ribosomal RNA, 156 nt
Filed under: Thanatephorus cucumeris
Lineage: Eukaryota; Fungi; Basidiomycota; Agaricomycetes; Cantharellales; Ceratobasidiaceae
Also listed under: 4 other names
Description: 5.8S ribosomal RNA
Rfam family: 5.8S ribosomal RNA
About the family: 5.8S ribosomal RNA (5.8S rRNA) is a component of the large subunit of the eukaryotic ribosome. It is transcribed by RNA polymerase I as part of the 45S precursor that also contains 18S and 28S rRNA. Functionally, it is thought that 5.8S rRNA may be involved in ribosome translocation.
Source: RNAcentral